RNAcentral lists this transfer RNA (72 nucleotides) under Camelus bactrianus (Bactrian camel). It matches the Rfam family "tRNA". From Rfam's summary of the family: Transfer RNA (tRNA) molecules are approximately 80 nucleotides in length. Their secondary structure includes four short double-helical elements and three loops (D, anti-codon, and T loops). Further hydrogen bonds mediate the characteristic L-shaped molecular structure. tRNAs have two regions of fundamental functional importance: the anti-codon, which is responsible for specific mRNA codon recognition, and the 3' end, to which the tRNAs corresponding amino acid is attached (by aminoacyl-tRNA synthetases). tRNAs cope with the degeneracy of the genetic code in two manners: having more than one tRNA (with a specific anti-codon) for a particular amino acid; and 'wobble' base-pairing, i.e. permitting non-standard base-pairing at the 3rd anti-codon position. RNAcentral also lists the same sequence under 2 other names. The record is from Rfam by way of RNAcentral. Lineage: Eukaryota; Metazoa; Chordata; Mammalia; Artiodactyla; Camelidae.
GAGGGUAUAGCUCAGUGGUAGAGCACAUGCCUCACAUGCAUGAGGUCCUGGGUUUGAUCCCCAGCACCUCCA